GCCGGGACGGGGCAGCCGUCGAACACGACGUCGUGGCUUCCGGUGCCGCGCAUGCCCAGUGCGUCCCAGGUGCGUUCGACACGCAGUCCCGGCG
RNAcentral lists this transfer RNA (94 nucleotides) under Amycolatopsis sp. M39. Its description in RNAcentral is "tRNA-Arg". The record is from RNAcentral. Lineage: Bacteria; Bacillati; Actinomycetota; Actinomycetes; Pseudonocardiales; Pseudonocardiaceae.